CUAAGAAUAUUCCGCAAUGGACGAAAGUCUGACGGAGCGACGCCGCGUGGAUGAAGAAGGCCGAAAGGUUGUAAAAUCCUUUUGCCGAUGAAGAAUAAGUGGUGUAGGGAAUGACAUCAUGAUGACAUUAGUCGGUGAAUAAGCCCCGGCUAACUACGUGCCAGCAGCCGCGGUAACACGUAGGGGGCAAGCGUUGUUCGGAAUUAUUGGGCGUAAAGGGCAUGUAGGCGGUUUCGUAAGCCUGGUGUGAAAUCCUGCAGCUUAACUGUAGAAUUGCAUUGGGUACUGCGAGACUUGAAUCACAGAGGGGAAACUAGAAUUCCAGGUGUAGGGGUGGAAUCUGUAGAUAUCUGGAAGAAUACCGGUGGCGAAGGCGGGUUUCUAGCUGAUGAUUGACGCUGAGGUGCGAAAGUGCGGGGAGCAAACA
RNAcentral lists this ribosomal RNA (427 nucleotides) under uncultured bacterium. Its description in RNAcentral is "bacterial SSU rRNA". It matches the Rfam family "Bacterial small subunit ribosomal RNA", at positions 355 to 774 of the family's 1533-position model. The record is from RNAcentral.